This 636-nucleotide unclassified non-coding RNA is filed under the name uncultured fungus. RNAcentral's name for it is "partial contains ITS1, 5.8S rRNA, and ITS2". The stretch from base 301 to 454 matches the Rfam family "5.8S ribosomal RNA". Lineage: Eukaryota; Fungi. The record is from RNAcentral.
CGCUACUACCGAUUGAAUGGCUCAGUGAGGCCUUCGGACUGGCUUGGGGAGGUUGGCAACGACCACCCUAAGCCGGAAAGUUCGUCAAACUCGGUCAUUUAGAGGAAGUAAAAGUCGUAACAAGGUUUCCGUAGGUGAACCUGCGGAAGGAUCAUUACCUAGAGUUUGUAGACUUCGGUCUGCUACCUCUUACCCAUGUCUUUUGAGUACCUUCGUUUCCUCGGCGGGUCCGCCCGCCGAUUGGACAACAUUCAAACCCUUUGCAGUUGCAAUCAGCGUCUGAAAAAACAUAAUAGUUACAACUUUCAACAACGGAUCUCUUGGUUCUGGCAUCGAUGAAGAACGCAGCGAAAUGCGAUAAGUAGUGUGAAUUGCAGAAUUCAGUGAAUCAUCGAAUCUUUGAACGCACAUUGCGCCCCUUGGUAUUCCAUGGGGCAUGCCUGUUCGAGCGUCAUUUGUACCUUCAAGCUCUGCUUGGUGUUGGGUGUUUGUCUCGCCUCUGCGUGUAGACUCGCCUUAAAACAAUUGGCAGCCGGCGUAUUGAUUUCGGAGCGCAGUACAUCUCGCGCUUUGCACUCACAACGACGACGUCCAAAAGUACAUUUUUACACUCUUGACCUCGGAUCAGGUAGGGAU